RNAcentral lists this unclassified non-coding RNA (403 nucleotides) under soil metagenome. Its description in RNAcentral is "partial contains 5.8S ribosomal RNA, internal transcribed spacer 2, and large subunit ribosomal RNA". The stretch from base 1 to 120 matches the Rfam family "5.8S ribosomal RNA", at positions 35 to 154 of the family's 154-position model. The record is from RNAcentral.
GAUUAAGAACGUAGCGAAAUGCGAUAAGUAAUGUGAAUUGCAGAAUUCAGUGAAUCAUCGAAUCUUUGAACGCACCUUGCGCCCUUUGGACUUCUGAAGGGCAUGCCUGUUUGAGUAUCAUGAACACCUCAACUCCUUAUGGUCUUCCAUGAUGAGCUUGGACUUUGGGGGUUUUGCUGGCCUACAGUCAGCUCCUCUAAAAUAAAUCAGCUUACCGGUGUUUGGUGGGUAUCAUGGGUGUGAUAACUAUCUACGCUCGUGGUUUUCCACCAGGUAACCUUCAGCAGUGGAGGUUCACUGGAGCUCAUAGAUGUCUCUCCUCAGCGAGGACAGCCCUUUGAAUGUUUGAUCUCAAAUCAGGUAGGACUACCCGCUGAACUUAAGCAUAUCAAUAAGCGGAGGA